GUGUGCGUAGUUUAAAAAAAAUAUCAAGCUGUGACCUUGACAAUAGGAGUUAACUCCUCACACACA
Molecule: transfer RNA, 66 nt
Filed under: Thermophis zhaoermii
Lineage: Eukaryota; Metazoa; Chordata; Lepidosauria; Squamata; Dipsadidae
Description: tRNA-His
Rfam family: tRNA
About the family: Transfer RNA (tRNA) molecules are approximately 80 nucleotides in length. Their secondary structure includes four short double-helical elements and three loops (D, anti-codon, and T loops). Further hydrogen bonds mediate the characteristic L-shaped molecular structure. tRNAs have two regions of fundamental functional importance: the anti-codon, which is responsible for specific mRNA codon recognition, and the 3' end, to which the tRNAs corresponding amino acid is attached (by aminoacyl-tRNA synthetases). tRNAs cope with the degeneracy of the genetic code in two manners: having more than one tRNA (with a specific anti-codon) for a particular amino acid; and 'wobble' base-pairing, i.e. permitting non-standard base-pairing at the 3rd anti-codon position.
Source: RNAcentral